CAGUAGCCACGGUAAUACGAAGGGUGCUAGCGUUGCUCGGAAUUACUGGGCGUAAAGGGAGCGUAGGCGGACUGUUUAGUCAGAGGUGAAAGCCCAGGGCUCAACCUUGGAAUUGCCUUUGAUACUGGCAGUCUUGAGUACGGAAGAGGUAUGUGGAACUCCGAGUGUAGAGGUGAAAUUCGUAGAUAUUCGGAAGAACACCAGUGGCGAAGGCGACAUACUGGUCCGUUACUGACGCUGAGGCUCGAAAGCGUGGGGAGCAAACAGGAUUAGAUACCCCGGUAGUCCCUGUCUCUUAUAC
This 301-nucleotide ribosomal RNA is filed under the name uncultured bacterium. RNAcentral's name for it is "partial 16S ribosomal RNA". It matches the Rfam family "Bacterial small subunit ribosomal RNA", at positions 509 to 807 of the family's 1533-position model. The record is from RNAcentral.